UGGGGAAUUGUUCGCAAUGGGCGCAAGCCUGACGACGCAACGCCGCGUGGAGGAUGAAGAUCUUCGGGUCGUAAACUCCUGUCGAAUGGGACGAACGGGUUGCGGGUUAACAGCCCGCGACCGUGACGGUACCGUUAAAGGAAACCCCGGCUAACUCCGUGCCAGCAGCCGCGGUAAUACGGGGGGGGUAAGCGUUGUUCGGAAUUACUGGGCGUAAAGGGCUCGUAGGCGGCCAACUAAGUCAGACGUGAAAUCCCUCAGCUUAACUGGGGAACUGCGUCUGAUACUGGAUGGCUUGGAUUUGGGAGAGGGAUGCGGAAUUCCAGGUGUAGCGGUGAAAUGCGUAGAUAUCUGGAGGAACACCGGUGGCGAAGGCGGCAUCCUGGACCAACAUUGACGCUGAGGAGCGAAAGCCAGGGGAGCAAACGGGAUUAGAUACCCCCGUAGUCC
This 450-nucleotide ribosomal RNA is filed under the name uncultured bacterium. RNAcentral's name for it is "bacterial SSU rRNA". It matches the Rfam family "Bacterial small subunit ribosomal RNA", at positions 355 to 796 of the family's 1533-position model. The record is from RNAcentral.